AAUAAUUUAUUUAUUUAAUGUUUUAGUAUUUAGUAAAAAUUAAUUUUUAGAUUUAUAGUUUAAUAGUAUUGUAAAAGAAAUUGUUAAAUUUUAUAAAGAAUUUUAUAGUACCUUUUGUAUCAGGGUUGAUUAAAAUUUUUAAUUUUUUUUUAAUUUCUCAAAAUUUAUAGAGUUAAUUUUAUUAUUAAUUUAUUGUGGUAAAAAUAUUUAUAAAAUAAUAUUAGUUUUGAAAUUUAAUUCGUUAUAUUAUAUUUAGUUAUUUAAGAUUUAAAUUUAAUUUAAAAUUUUAAAAGUUGUAUUAAUUUUAUUGAUUAAUAUUUUAAAUUUAAAUUAUUUUAGGGAUAAGCUUGAAAUUUUAAUAUAAUAAUUUAUUUAUUUUAAUAAUUUAUAGGAAUAGAAAUUUUUAUUUAAGUUUGUAAAAAUUUAUUAUUUAUUUAAUUUUAAUUUAUUAUAUUUAUAUUUAUUUUUAAUAUUAAAUUUUAUUAAUUAAUAUUUAAUUAAUAGUAAUAAUGAUUAAAUUAGUAUAAUAUAUAAAUUUAUAAAUUAUGAAUUCGGCAAAAAUUAUUUUCAUCUGUUUAACAAAAACAUUGUAUUAAGUUUAAUUUAAUAUAGGAUCUGCUCAAUGAUUUAUUAAAUAGCUGCAGUAUUUUGACUGUGCAAAGGUAGCAUAAUAAUUAGUCUUUUAAUUGAGGACUUGAAUGAAAGAUUUGAUGAGAAAUAGACUUUAUUAUUUAUAAAAUUAAAAUUUUAUUUUAAGUAAAAAAGCUUAAAUUAUUUAAAGGGACGAUAAGACCCUAUAAAACUUUAUAAAUUUUGAUUUUAAUUUUUUUGGAUUCAUAAAUAUUUUAUAAUUAAAAUUUAUUUUAUUGGGGUGAUAAAAAAAAUUAUUAAACUUUUUUUAAAAUUUAACAUUAUUUAAUGAUUAGUUGAAUUAAAAUUUUUAAUUAAAGGAAAAAGUUACUUUAGGGAUAACAGCGUAAUUAAUUUUUUAAGUUCAAAUUUAAAAAUUAGUUUGCGACCUCGAUGUUGAAUUAAGAUUAAUCUUAGUGCAAAUUUAAGUAUUAGUCUGUUCGACCUUUAAA
This 1082-nucleotide ribosomal RNA is filed under the name Aphis gossypii (cotton aphid). Its description in RNAcentral is "partial 16S large subunit ribosomal RNA". The record is from RNAcentral. Lineage: Eukaryota; Metazoa; Arthropoda; Insecta; Hemiptera; Aphididae.